RNAcentral lists this long non-coding RNA (421 nucleotides) under Lynx canadensis (Canada lynx). RNAcentral describes it as "lncRNA (ENSLCNG00005016920.1)". Lineage: Eukaryota; Metazoa; Chordata; Mammalia; Carnivora; Felidae. The record is from RNAcentral.
UAUAGACAUAUACUAUAAUACUCCAAACUGCUGAGUAUGACAUUGGCUUAUCGGAAACAGAGCUCCCCAUUGCCCAUGUUGCAUUGUUAUCUGACGUCUUCUGUUUUGGCAUCCGAUGGGGCAAGGGACACAGUGAAUUGGCACCUUUGCUGAUCUUAGUAUUGUUGUCUGUGUAAGAAACUACCUUAUCUAAACAGGCUCAUUUUUCUUUACCAGGUGAAUCUCUCAGCCUUGCUUGACAGCAAUCAUGACAAAUGCUCUGGACUCACCCAUAUGCACUUGUGUGAGAGAAAAGGUCCAAGGCCCAAGAGGAUCGAAGACCUCAUUGAUCCACUUAACAAACAAGAUAUGAGUAACCCAAGCUUUGCUGUUGGACCUCCACAUAACGUUUAACUGGCUCUUCUGCACCUUGCAUUUCUUG